This 229-nucleotide ribosomal RNA is filed under the name uncultured bacterium. RNAcentral describes it as "partial 16S ribosomal RNA". It matches the Rfam family "Bacterial small subunit ribosomal RNA", at positions 568 to 796 of the family's 1533-position model. The record is from RNAcentral.
CGUGUAGGCGGGUGCGUAAGUCUGAUGUGAAUGCCCUCGGCUCAACCGAGGAAUGCCAUUGGAAACUGCGUGUCUUGAGUGCGGGAGGGGAGAGUGGAACUCUUGGUGGAGCGGUGAAAUGCGUAGAUAUCAAGAGGAACGCCAGUGGCGAAAGCGACUCUCUGGCCCGUUACUGACGCUGAGGCGCGAAAGCUAGGGGAGCGAACAGGAUUAGAUACCCUGGUAGUCC